AUUGAACGCUGGCGGCAGGCUUAACACAUGCAAGUCGAACGGUAACAUAAAGAAGCUUGCUUCUUUGAUGACGAGUGGCGGACGGGUGAGUAAUGCUUGGGAAUCUAGCUUAUGGAGGGGGAUAACUACGGGAAACUGUAGCUAAUACCGCGUAAUAUCGAAAGAUUAAAGUGUGGGACCUUCGGGCCACAUGCCAUAGGAUGAGCCCAAGUGGGAUUAGGUAGUUGGUGAGGUAAAGGCUCACCAAGCCGACGAUCUCUAGCUGGUCUGAGAGGAUGACCAGCCACACUGGGACUGAGACACGGCCCAGACUCCUACGGGAGGCAGCAGUGGGGAAUAUUGCGCAAUGGGGGCAACCCUGACGCAGCCAUGCCGCGUGAAUGAAGAAGGCCUUCGGGUUGUAAAGUUCUUUCGGUAGCGAGGAAGGCUAAUAGUUUAAUAGACUAGGUGAUUGACGUUAACUACAGAAGAA
RNAcentral lists this ribosomal RNA (472 nucleotides) under Streptococcus sp. oral taxon C14. Its description in RNAcentral is "bacterial SSU rRNA". It matches the Rfam family "Bacterial small subunit ribosomal RNA", at positions 30 to 489 of the family's 1533-position model. Lineage: Bacteria; Bacillati; Bacillota; Bacilli; Lactobacillales; Streptococcaceae. The record is from RNAcentral.